AAAACAAAAUUUAAAAUUCUAUUGCUAGAUUUUCACCUAUUAAAAACUCUCUAUUAAAAAAGAUCACACCUUUUUUCUUUUUCUUUGUGGGGGGGUGGUUACUGGGGAUUGAACUCAACCACUGAGACAUAUCCCCAGCCCUAUUUUGUAUUUUAUUUAGAGACAGGGUCUCACUGAGUUGCUUAGCGCUUCGCCUUUGCUGAGGCUGGCUUUGAACUCACGAUCCUCCUGCCUCAGCCUCUGGAGCCGCUGGGAUUACUGGCCAUACACUACUGCCCCCGGCAGAUCACACCUUUUUUCUACUCAUAACAUUACAACUGUUCUUCAGUUUCAAUCCGUGAGCUUGAAGUAUUAUAUUGGUGUUUUCUAAACUGUCACUUCAAUGUAUUUUAAGUUUUAGAGUUUGUGUACCAAAGAAGAGUCCUUCAAUUGUUAGUGUAGUUUAGCCAAUUUAAAGCCAAUUUGGCUGAACAGUAUUUAUAAUAUUUUAGACUGCUUCUCCUUAGAAUAUUGAUAUAUAACCUCUAACCACUAGUUUAAGUCAGUCCAACAAAAGUAUUAUUGCUUUUUCCCUUAUGAGCCAGUCACAGUACUAGUUUCUGUGUCAGCUCAAACAUAGUAGUGCCUCUCAGGAGCUUGUUGUUUAAUAUGCUGUGAGGGAAGAGACUUGUCAACUUACAAUUUACAUUUUUAUAAUGCAUAGUAUGUCAAUUUGUAAUUUCAGUGUGAUGUGAAAGAACUGUUGUACAGAUUUAUGCAGAGUGUUACCUAUCACUUUCUAGAUUCUCAUCUGCCAAAUUUCUACCAGGAACAGAUGAGCACUUUGAUAUGAGACAAAAAGUUAUGAGGAAAGUUUAUACAUACAAAUAAUAGCAGGGUACAAGAAGGAUUGUAAGUGCUGAAGUCGUAUGUAUGAAUGGGGAAGUGUGCAUGUUAAUCCUCAAGAAUUAUGGGUUAAUAAGCAACAUAUAUUAAAACACUGAUUAAAAUCGUCUGAUUAAUCCAACCAUAAAUGCUCUAGAUGCAUUAAAUUGAACUUUCAAAGAAUUAUUAUCUACUUGAAUCUUUUUAAUUUCU
RNAcentral lists this long non-coding RNA (1077 nucleotides) under Marmota monax (woodchuck). Lineage: Eukaryota; Metazoa; Chordata; Mammalia; Rodentia; Sciuridae. The record is from RNAcentral.